Molecule: ribosomal RNA, 301 nt
Filed under: uncultured bacterium
Lineage: Bacteria
Description: partial 16S ribosomal RNA
Rfam family: Bacterial small subunit ribosomal RNA
Source: RNAcentral
CAGUAGCCACGGUAAUACGUAGGGUGCGAGCGUUAAUCGGAAUUACUGGGCGUAAAGCGUGCGCAGGCGGUUAUGUAAGACAGUUGUGAAAUCCCCGGGCUCAACCUGGGAACUGCAUCUGUGACUGCAUAGCUAGAGUACGGUAGGGGGGGAUGGAAUUCCGCGUGUAGCAGUGAAAUGCGUAGAUAUGCGGAGGAACACCGAUGGCGAAGGCAAUCCCCUGGACCUGUACUGACGCUCAUGCACGACAGCGUGGGGAGCAAACAGGAUUAGAUACCCCCGUAGUCCCUGUCUCUUAUAC